GUGCCAGCCGCCGCGGUAAUUCCAGCUCCAAUAGCGUAUAUUAAAGUUGUUGUGGUUAAAAAGCUCGUAGUUGAACCUUGGGCCUGGCUGGCCGGUCCGCCUCACCGCGUGCACUGGUCCGGCCGGGCCUUUCCCUCUGUGGAACCCCAUACCCUUCACUGGGCGUGGCGGGGAAACAGGACAUUUACUUUGAAAAAAUUAGAGUGCUCCAGGCAGGCCUAUGCUCGAAUACAUUAGCAUGGAAUAAUAAAAUAGGACGCGCGGUUCUAUUUUGUUGGUUUAUAGGACCGCCGUAAUGAUUAAUAGGGACAGUCGGGGGCAUCAGUAUUCAACUGUCAGAGGUGAAAUUCUUGGAUCAGUUGAAGACUAACUACUGCGAAAGCAUUUGCCAAGGAUGUUUUCAUUAAUCAGGAACGAAAGUUAGGGGAUCGAAGACGAUCAGAUACCGUCGUAGUCUUAACCAUAAACUAUGCCGACUAGGGAUCGGACGGUGUUAUUCAUGACCCGUUCGGCACCUUACGAGAAAUCAAAGUGCUUGGGCUCCAGGGGGAGUAUGGUCGCAAGGCUGAAACUUAAAGAAAUUGACGGAAGGGCACCACCAGGGGUGGAGCCUGCGGCUUAAUUUGACUCAACACGGGGAAACUCACCAGGUCCAGACACAAUAAGGGAUUGACAGAUUGAGAGCUCUUUUCUUGAUUUUGUGGGUGUGUGCAUGGCCGUUCUUAGUUGGUGGGGUGACUUGUCUGCUUAUUGCGAUACGAACGAGACCUUAACCUGCUAAAUAGCCCGCAUUGCUCCGGCAGUGCCGCU
RNAcentral lists this ribosomal RNA (810 nucleotides) under uncultured fungus. RNAcentral describes it as "SSU rRNA". It matches the Rfam family "Eukaryotic small subunit ribosomal RNA", at positions 564 to 1383 of the family's 1831-position model. Lineage: Eukaryota; Fungi. The record is from RNAcentral.